Long non-coding RNA from Bufo bufo (common toad), 123 nucleotides. RefSeq lists it as uncharacterized. The record is from RefSeq and is a predicted model, not a curated record. The transcript is spliced from 4 exons. NCBI's taxonomy places the organism in Eukaryota, Metazoa, Chordata, Amphibia, Anura, Bufonidae.
GAAAUAGUAGUUGUAGCUAAUUCUUGAGCCGGUGGCUCCCCGCCAUGAAGUGCGACGGCAUUGGUUGCAGCUUGAGAUGGUGCGUUGUCUGAAGGCAAGGCCCUCAGGAGGAAGUCAGAUCUG